GGGCGAUUAGCUCAGGGGUAGAGCAAUGCCUUCACACGGCAGAGGUCACAAGUUCAAAUCUUGUAUCGCCCA
Molecule: transfer RNA, 72 nt
Filed under: Atopobium sp. oral taxon 199 str. F0494
Lineage: Bacteria; Bacillati; Actinomycetota; Coriobacteriia; Coriobacteriales; Atopobiaceae
Rfam family: tRNA
About the family: Transfer RNA (tRNA) molecules are approximately 80 nucleotides in length.
Source: Rfam by way of RNAcentral